UCGAGAAUUUUUCACAAUGGGGGAAACCCUGAUGGAGCGACGCCGCGUGGAGGACGAAGGGCUUCGUGCUUGUAAACUCCUGUCAAGCGGGAACAAGAAAGUGAUAGUACCGCUAGAGGUAGAGACGGCUAACUCUGUGCCAGCAGCCGCGGUAAUACAGAGGUCUCAAGCGUUGUUCGGAUUCAUUGGGCGUAAAGGGUGCGUAGGCGGCGUGGUAAGUCGAAUGUGAAAUCUCGGAGCUCAACUCCGAAACUGCAUUCGAUACUGCCAUGCUCGAGGGUUGUAGAGGAGAUCGGAAUUCACGGUGUAGCAGUGAAAUGCGUAGAUAUCGUGAGGAAGACCAGUUGCGAAAGCGGAUCUCUGGGCAACUCCUGACGCUGAGGCACGAAGGCUAGGGGAGCAAACGG
This 407-nucleotide ribosomal RNA is filed under the name uncultured bacterium. RNAcentral describes it as "bacterial SSU rRNA". It matches the Rfam family "Bacterial small subunit ribosomal RNA", at positions 355 to 775 of the family's 1533-position model. The record is from RNAcentral.